CAGCACCUCAAGUGGUCAGGAUGAUUAUUGGGCCUAAAGCAUCCGUAGCUUGCUUUGUCAGUUUUCGGUUAAAUCUGUACGCUCAACGUACAGGCUGCCGGGAAUACUGCAGCGCUAGGGAGUGGGAGAGGUAGACGGUACUCGGUAGGAAGGGGUAAAAUCCUUUGAUCUAUUGAUGACCACCUGUGGCGAAGGCGGUCUACCAGAACACGUCCGACGGUGAGGGAUGAAAGCUGGGGGAGCAAACCGGAUUAGAUACCCGAGUAGUCC
This 270-nucleotide ribosomal RNA is filed under the name uncultured archaeon. Its description in RNAcentral is "partial 16S ribosomal RNA". It matches the Rfam family "Archaeal small subunit ribosomal RNA", at positions 477 to 747 of the family's 1478-position model. The record is from RNAcentral.